Molecule: ribosomal RNA, 477 nt
Filed under: uncultured bacterium
Lineage: Bacteria
Description: partial 16S ribosomal RNA
Rfam family: Bacterial small subunit ribosomal RNA
Source: RNAcentral
AUUGAACGCUGGCGGCAUGCCUUACACAUGCCAGUCGAACGGUAACAGGUUAAGCUGACGAGUGGCGAACGGGUGAGUAAUGUAUCGGAACGUGCCCAGUCGUGGGGGAUAACUGCUCGAAAGAGCAGCUAAUACCGCAUACGACCUGAGGGUGAAAGCUGGGGAUCGCAAGACCUCGCGCGAUUGGAGCGGCCGAUAUCAGAUUAGGUAGUUGGUGAGGUAAAGGCUCACCAAGCCGACGAUCUGUAGCUGGUCUGAGAGGACGACCAGCCACACUGGGACUGAGACACGGCCCAGACUCCUACGGGAGGCAGCAGUGGGGAAUUUUGGACAAUGGGCGCAAGCCUGAUCCAGCCAUGCCGCGUGCGGGAAGAAGGCCUUCGGGUUGUAAACCGCUUUUGUCAGGGAAGAAAAGGUUCUGGCUAAUACCUGGGACUCAUGACGGUACCUGAAGAAUAAGCACCGGCUAACUACGUG